UACUUUUCAGCAGUGUAGGAAGGUGGGUAUGUUUAAUAGUCAUACUCAUUUUGACGUUUAGCUGCAGAAGAAGCACCGGCUAACUCCGUGCCAGCAGCCGCGGUAAUACGGAGGGUGCGAGCGUUUAAUCGGAAUUUACUGGGCGUAAAGCGCAUGCAGGUGGUUUGUUAAGUCAGAUGUGAAAGCCCGGGGCUCAACCUCGGAAUUGCAUUUGAAACUGGCAAACUAGAGUACUGUAGAGGGGGUAGAAUUUCAGGUGUAGCGGUGAAAUGCGUAGAGAUCUGAAGGAAUACCGGUGGCGAAGGCGGCCCCCUGGACAGAUACUGACACUCAGAUGCGAAAGCGUGGGGAGCAAACAGGAUUAGAUACCCUGGUAG
Molecule: ribosomal RNA, 377 nt
Filed under: uncultured bacterium
Lineage: Bacteria
Description: bacterial SSU rRNA
Rfam family: Bacterial small subunit ribosomal RNA
Source: RNAcentral